CUCUAGCCCGCUGGGUGAAAUGGAUAAUGGCUUCGGCUCACAUAGAUACCUCCGUAUACAGCGCACAUUUUACUAGAGGGGCCAUGGCUUCUAAGAUUUUUGACUUUUGAUGUGUCAGGGUCUUACCUGAGUUGGGAGUCUGUAGCGCAGAUAAAUUGCUCACCCUUGCAAAUAGCCACAGGCCAAGGUGGUCAGGUAAGAAUUCACCUGGCCUGUGGAUCUGUGCACGGGGGCUGUGCAGGAUGAAGUUCCAAAACGCAGCACAGGCAAGGACUCAAACAGCAGGAUAGUCAAGGGAUAGUCGAGGUCAAAGGAUGCAAGAGGACAGGAACAACGAGGACUAGCCGGAGUCAAGGGAUGCCAGAGGUCAGAGUAAAC
Pelobates cultripes (western spadefoot toad) is the source of this 378-nucleotide non-coding RNA. The record is from the annotation of a GenBank genome assembly. NCBI's taxonomy places the organism in Eukaryota, Metazoa, Chordata, Amphibia, Anura, Pelobatidae.